This 798-nucleotide ribosomal RNA is filed under the name Triticum aestivum (bread wheat). Its description in RNAcentral is "partial small subunit ribosomal RNA". The record is from RNAcentral. Lineage: Eukaryota; Viridiplantae; Streptophyta; Magnoliopsida; Poales; Poaceae.
CUGCGUGGUUUUAACGAAACCUGGUGCGGUUGGGUCAAACAAAUUCUUUAUAAGGGCACGGUCAGCAUUAAGCUGAAUAAUUGUGUGGGCCCCUACUUCCAGAGUGCAAAAGGGGUGUGAUAGGGUGAUCCACACUCUCCAUUCCUGUUUAAUCUUGCUGUUGAGUGCCUAACCAAAAUGAUCAAAAAUGCCCAGAAAAAUAAGCUAAUCACGGGAUUAGCUUCUGACCUGAUUCAGUAUGGGGUUGCGGUGUUGCAAUAUGCGGACGAUACUAUCAUCUAUUUAGAGCAUAACAUAGAUAAAGCAGUUAACCUGAAGUUGCUGCUUUACACUUUUGAAAUGAUGUCCAGACUCAAGGUGAAUUUUCAAAAAAGUGAGAUCCUCACGGUGGGUGGGGAUGACAAUGUUGUUAGAGAAUAUGCUGAUUUAUUCAGCUGUGAUAUUGGGAGCUUUCCUAUUAAGUACUUAGGGAUGCCUGUGAGCUACACCAAUCUUCGUAAUUCUGACUGGAUAUUCAUUGUGGUUAAGUAUCUUAAAAGAUUCGAAGCCUGGAUUGGUAAUGCCACAUCUAUGGGGGGCAGGCUUACCCUGCUUGACUCAGUACUUACUGAACUAUCCAUCUUCCACAUGUCUAUGUGGCUCAUGAAUAAAACAUUCAUCGAAAAGUUGGAUAAACACAGACGUAGAUUUUUCUGGCAAGGGUGCAAUAAGAAGAAGAGAUAUCACCUUGUCAAGUGGGAUAGGAUUUGCAGAUCCAGAGACAAAGGAGGCCUUGGGGUUAAAGACCUUAGAAAAUAA